This is a non-coding RNA of Aedes aegypti (yellow fever mosquito), 45 nucleotides long. NCBI's taxonomy places the organism in Eukaryota, Metazoa, Arthropoda, Insecta, Diptera, Culicidae. The record is from Rfam.
CAAAUGGUCCUUCUCAGGACCAAAAUGAGUCCAAAAAGAGGUAAU